RNAcentral lists this non-coding RNA (45 nucleotides) under Trichobilharzia regenti. Lineage: Eukaryota; Metazoa; Platyhelminthes; Trematoda; Strigeidida; Schistosomatidae. The record is from RNAcentral.
CUUCGACUGACGAGUCCCAAAUAGGACGAAAUGCGCAUCCUGGAU